UACGAAGGGGGCUAGCGUUGCUCGGAAUUACUGGGCGUAAAGCGCACGUAGGCGGCUUUCUAAGUCGGGGGUGAAAUCCUGGAGCUCAACUCCAGAACUGCCUUCGAUACUGGAGAGCUCGAGUCCGGGAGAGGUGAGUGGAACUGCGAGUGUAGAGGUGAAAUUCGUAGAUAUUCGCAAGAACACCAGUGGCGAAGGCGGCUCACUGGCCCGGUACUGACGCUGAGGUGCGAAAGCGUGGGGAGCAAAAGGG
RNAcentral lists this ribosomal RNA (253 nucleotides) under uncultured bacterium. RNAcentral's name for it is "partial 16S ribosomal RNA". It matches the Rfam family "Bacterial small subunit ribosomal RNA", at positions 524 to 776 of the family's 1533-position model. The record is from RNAcentral.